This is a non-coding RNA of Pocillopora verrucosa, 1031 nucleotides long. The record is from RefSeq and is a predicted model, not a curated record. NCBI's taxonomy places the organism in Eukaryota, Metazoa, Cnidaria, Anthozoa, Scleractinia, Pocilloporidae.
AAAAAGAACUCAACACUCUAAAGUUAAAUGAGGUUAAAUGGAGUUCAAUCUUGUCUCAAUUUACUUUAAUUAAGAGGUCGAGACCACCCUGAUGUACAUUUGAAUCCAGCUCUUGACUGCUAUGCCAUUACUUCCAUUAAUCAUGAUGAGAAUAUUAUUUUGAACGGGAUGAAGAACUCAAUGCGGAAUGCAAAGCAAAAUUUCAGCAUGAAUACUUUAGUUCCUUAAGUUCAAUGAGUCACAGGUGUCAGAUAUGAUAAGAGCGUGUCCACGAGAGCACCGGAGAGUCGUGCUACAUGCCAUCUCACCGAUUUCAAUGAAACUUUGCCAGUUUAAAGGGUCUACCCCAAAACUCAAAAAGACAAACUGGUUUCUGUUUUGUUUUUUUUCUGGGGGGAGAUAGACAACCCCCCCUUUUUGUGUGGGAUUUCCCACACUUAGUCAAGGCCCGCGAAAUUUAUUUCUUUAUUUCUUUAUUUCUUUAUUUAUUUGUCCACGAGAGAGAAGUGCUUGUCACGUGGUUUCUAUUUGCGUUCAGUGAGCCGUGAAGACUGGAUUCCAGUCAGCGUUUUUUCAUAGUGUAUUGUACGGUGGCCAUUUCUCUUCUCAGUCGUUGGGUUUUGGAGAACUUAUUCGGAAUUUCAUAUUUGUUUCUUGGGGAUUUUCGUUUCCAAGGUGUCUAUAACAGAAGAUUUUUUCACGUAAGCCAACACGCUGAAACGCGGCUUGUGUUCAGUGCAGGUUGCACAGGAGCUUUUACGUUUUCACAAGCCAACAUUUUUCGGCUUGGACCUUCGGUGCGGGUUGUGCCAGAUUGAAAGGAGUCAUUGUACUCUCGCAAGCUAACAUUUGUCGGCUUGAAUGUAUUUGUGCGGGUUGCGCUUCAAAGAGUCUCAGGGUGUCUCAAAGUGUCUCACGAGUGUCUCAAAAUGUCUCACGAGUGUCUCAAAGUGUCACAAACUGAAAGAAACUAUUGUUUGCCUUGAACUGUCAAGAGUGUUAUCUAUUUUAAUAAACUGAGUUUCUAGUUA